Molecule: ribosomal RNA, 1045 nt
Filed under: Escherichia coli
Lineage: Bacteria; Pseudomonadati; Pseudomonadota; Gammaproteobacteria; Enterobacterales; Enterobacteriaceae
Description: partial 23S ribosomal RNA
Rfam family: Bacterial large subunit ribosomal RNA
Source: RNAcentral
CACUAUCAUUAACUGAAUCCAUAGGUUAAUGAGGCGAACCGGGGGAACUGAAACAUCUAAGUACCCCGAGGAAAAGAAAUCAACCGAGAUUCCCCCAGUAGCGGCGAGCGAACGGGGAGGAGCCCAGAGCCUGAAUCAGUGUGUGUGUUAGUGGAAGCGUCUGGAAAGGCGCGCGAUACAGGGUGACAGCCCCGUACACAAAAAUGCACAUACUGUGAGCUCGAUGAGUAGGGCGGGACACGUGGUAUCCUGUCUGAAUAUGGGGGGACCAUCCUCCAAGGCUAAAUACUCCUGACUGACCGAUAGUGAACCAGUACCGUGAGGGAAAGGCGAAAAGAACCCCGGCGAGGGGAGUGAAAAAGAACCUGAAACCGUGUACGUACAAGCAGUGGGAGCCUCUUUUAUGGGGUGACUGCGUACCUUUUGUAUAAUGGGUCAGCGACUUAUAUUCUGUAGCAAGGUUAACCGAAUAGGGGAGCCGAAGGGAAACCGAGUCUUAACUGGGCGUUAAGUUGCAGGGUAUAGACCCGAAACCCGGUGAUCUAGCCAUGGGCAGGUUGAAGGUUGGGUAACACUAACUGGAGGACCGAACCGACUAAUGUUGAAAAAUUAGCGGAUGACUUGUGGCUGGGGGUGAAAGGCCAAUCAAACCGGGAGAUAGCUGGUUCUCCCCGAAAGCUAUUUAGGUAGCGCCUCGUGAAUUCAUCUCCGGGGGUAGAGCACUGUUUCGGCAAGGGGGUCAUCCCGACUUACCAACCCGAUGCAAACUGCGAAUACCGGAGAAUGUUAUCACGGGAGACACACGGCGGGUGCUAACGUCCGUCGUGAAGAGGGAAACAACCCAGACCGCCAGCUAAGGUCCCAAAGUCAUGGUUAAGUGGGAAACGAUGUGGGAAGGCCCAGACAGCCAGGAUGUUGGCUUAGAAGCAGCCAUCAUUUAAAGAAAGCGUAAUAGCUCACUGGUCGAGUCGGCCUGCGCGGAAGAUGUAACGGGGCUAAACCAUGCACCGAAGCUGCGGCAGCGACGCUUAUGCGUUGUUGGGUA